GCCGGCGUAGCUCAAUUGGCAGAGCAGCGGUAUCGUAAACCGCAGGUUGUCCGUUCGACUCGGAUCGCCGGCUCCA
This 76-nucleotide transfer RNA is filed under the name Bacillota bacterium. RNAcentral's name for it is "Firmicutes bacterium (anaerobic digester metagenome) tRNA-Thr". It matches the Rfam family "tRNA". Rfam says of the family: Transfer RNA (tRNA) molecules are approximately 80 nucleotides in length. The record is from RNAcentral. Lineage: Bacteria; Bacillati; Bacillota.